AUACGGAGGGUGCGAGCGUUAAUCGGAAUCACUGGGCGUAAAGCGCGCGCAGGCGGGCUGAUAAGUUGGAUGUGAAAGCCUACGGCUCAACCGUAGAACUGCAUCCAAAACUGUCAGUCUAGAGUGUGGGAGAGGAAGAUGGAAUUAGUUGUGUAGGGGUAAAAUCCGUAGAGAUAACUAGGAAUACCAAAAGCGAAGGCAAUCUUCUGGAACACUACUGACGCUGAGGCGCGAAGGCGUGGGGAGCAAACAGGAUUAGAAACCCUAGUAGUCC
This 274-nucleotide ribosomal RNA is filed under the name uncultured bacterium. RNAcentral describes it as "partial 16S ribosomal RNA". It matches the Rfam family "Bacterial small subunit ribosomal RNA", at positions 523 to 796 of the family's 1533-position model. The record is from RNAcentral.